Molecule: non-coding RNA, 225 nt
Filed under: Bacillus altitudinis
Lineage: Bacteria; Bacillati; Bacillota; Bacilli; Caryophanales; Bacillaceae
Also listed under: 2 other names
Description: T-box
Rfam family: T-box leader
About the family: Uncharged tRNA acts as the effector for transcription antitermination of genes in the T-box leader family. T-boxes are found upstream of many aminoacyl-tRNA synthetase genes and some amino acid biosynthetic genes usually in Gram-positive bacteria.
Source: RNAcentral
AUAAACGCUUUGACUUGAGAAUAGUAAAUGAACAUCCGUUUUUUAAGAGAGCUGCGGGUCGGUGCAACGCAGUAAAACGAAUCAUUGAACUCGCUCAAAGAGCGGUAAGACUGAAUGAAUAGUAAGUCUUUACGUGUGACCUCCGUUAUCGGGUUUUAAGUUGGAUUCAGCCAUGGCUGAAUCAAUAAGAGUGGUAACGCGGUUGCAAGGUCAGUCGUCUCUUCC